UCUGGCUCAGAACGAACGCUGGCGGCGUGGUUAAGACAUGCAAGUCGAACGAGAAGCCUCCUUCNGGGAGGUGGACAGUGGCGCACGGGUGAGUAACACGUGAGCAAUCUGCCCGGAAGCCCGGAAUAGCCCUCCGAAAGGAGGAUUAAUGCCGGAUGUGGCCAACCCGCGAUUGCGGGUGACGCUAAAGAUUUAUCGCUUCUGAGAGGAGCUCGCGGCCCAUCAGCUUGUUGGUGAGGGUAAUGGCCCACCAAGGCGGUGACGGGUAGCUGGUCUGAGAGGAUGGUCAGCCACACUGGAACUGAGACACGGUCCAGACACCUACGGGUGGCAGCAGUCGAGAAUCAUUCGCAAUGGGGGCAACCCUGACGAUGCGACGCCGCGUGAAGGAUGAAGGCCCUAGGGUUGUAAACUUCUGUCAAGAGGGAAUAAGCAAGUGAAGGUACCUCUAGAGGAAGGGGCGGCUAAUUCCGUGCCAGCAGCCGCGGUAACACGGAAGCCCCGAGCGUUGUUCGGAUUUAUUGGGCGUAAAGGGUGCGUAGGCGGCGCGGAAAGUCUGGUGUGAAAGGCAGGGGCUCAACCCCUGGACUGCACUGGAUACUCCCGUGCUUGAGGACUGGAGAGGAGACUGGAAUUCACGGUGUAGCAGUGAAAUGCGUAGAUAUCGUGAGGAAGACCGGUGGCGAAGGCGAGUCUCUGGACAGUUCCUGACGCUGAGGCACGAAGGCUGGGGUAGCGAACAGGAUUAGAUACCCUGGUAGUCCCAGCAGUAAACGAUGUGAGCUUGAUGUGGGGGGAUUCGACCCCUUCCGUGUCGAAGUUAACGCGAUAAGCUCACCGNCUGAGGAGUACGAUCGCAAGAUUAAAACUCAAAGAAAUUGACGGGGACCCGCACAAGCGGUGGAGUAUGUGGCUUAAUUCGAUGCAACGCGAAGAACCUUACCUGGCCUUGAC
This 954-nucleotide ribosomal RNA is filed under the name uncultured organism. Its description in RNAcentral is "bacterial SSU rRNA". It matches the Rfam family "Bacterial small subunit ribosomal RNA", at positions 18 to 985 of the family's 1533-position model. The record is from RNAcentral.